This 253-nucleotide ribosomal RNA is filed under the name uncultured bacterium. RNAcentral's name for it is "partial 16S ribosomal RNA". It matches the Rfam family "Bacterial small subunit ribosomal RNA", at positions 524 to 776 of the family's 1533-position model. The record is from RNAcentral.
UACAGAGGUCCCAAGCGUUGUUCGGAUUCAUUGGGCGUAAAGGGUGCGUAGGCGGCGCGGUAAGUCGGGUGUGAAAUCUCGGGGCUUAGCUCCGAAACUGCAUUCGAUACUGCCGUGCUUGAGGACUGGAGAGGAGACUGGAAUUUACGGUGUAGCGGUGAAAUGCGUAGAUAUCGUAAGGAAGACCAGUGGCGAAGGCGGGUCUCUGGACAGUUCCUGACGCUGAGGCACGAAGGCCAGGGGAGCAAACGGG